Molecule: long non-coding RNA, 1082 nt
Organism: Mirounga angustirostris (Northern elephant seal)
Lineage: Eukaryota; Metazoa; Chordata; Mammalia; Carnivora; Phocidae
Exons: 6
Source: RefSeq, a predicted model, not a curated record
CCCUAAAGCGCGUGUCCGGGCUUCGGGGCGGGCGCCGCCGUGGGGGAGAGUCGCGCAGGGCCGCCGGGGGCCGAGGCUCAAGGCCCGCGCGCGUGUCUGUCCGGCAGGGCCGCCGCUGUCGUCUCAGGAGCCUGGGUUCCCCGGAGGCCGGGGCCCCGCUCCCCGGACCCGGCGUGGGAGGUGCGCCACCCCCGGAGGACCGGCCUCAACGGUCUGGUUGAACCUCGCUGCCGCAGCCUGCCCUUAACGCGUGUCGCCCUCCACGUUCCAGGUGGCAGAUCCCUUGCAGCGCCUUCAAGCCGGGAGCGGCCUCCCACCCUGAGGUUGCAGAAGAGUGUGGGGUCGGCAGUGUGUGAUGAGAUCAGCAGCAGAGCGUUCCGGGGGUGAGCACUGGCCUGCCUUGAGUAUCCCAGAGACACUUACUAUGGUUCAUGGUGGCAGCGGAGCGGAGGGCAGAGGAAACCCGGGAGUUCCUUGUUACCCCACUGCUGUAAAAUCCUGAGAUGUAACUUGCCUCAUCCCUGAAGAUGACAGCUUUAGGGGUGCCUUAAUUCGUUCCCCCAGGUUUUGUGUGCUGAGGUGCUCAAGAAUGGUGGUCUGCGGUGUGGAGUUUUAAAGCUGGAGGCGGCAGCCCUUUAGCCUCAGAAGAGGCUGUUUUCCCAGAGAACGGUCAGCCAUGCUGCAGCAGGGGAAGAACUUGAAGUUUCAAGGACCAGUGGUCACCAUACCAUCAGUUUGGACUGAAACCCUAGGCUUCCACAGUUGGUGUGGAAACAAUGCUUAACUUGUGCUGAGAUUCAGAGGCCAUUCUCUUACCAACAGAGCCAACAAAUGUGUUUGGCAAACUUGCUAGGGUAUUACGCUAGGAUAGGCACUGUUGGAGUCCUUGAAUUCAUGAGCUUUCUAGUAAUGUAUUAUAAAUACUAUAUUUUUAGCUCCCCUGCCCAAAGAGAGCUUCUAUACCUGUAAAUUUUGUAUAAAUUUGUCAGGUGAGGGUCUGAGUUCUUUAAGCUGCAAAUGUAUUUCUUCCUGAAACAUAUUUCUGUGCAAUUACCACAAACUGCAAUAAAGGAUGGUCUUUA